This 460-nucleotide ribosomal RNA is filed under the name uncultured bacterium. RNAcentral describes it as "partial 16S ribosomal RNA". It matches the Rfam family "Bacterial small subunit ribosomal RNA", at positions 338 to 795 of the family's 1533-position model. The record is from RNAcentral.
CCUACGGGAGGCAGCAGUGAGGAAUAUUGGUCAAUGGACGAGAGUCUGAACCAGCCAAGUAGCGUGAAGGAUGACUGCCCUAUGGGUUGUAAACUUCUUUUAUAUGGGAAUAAAACAGGGUAUGCAUACCCUCUUGUAUGUACCAUAUGAAUAAGGAUCGGCUAACUCCGUGCCAGCAGCCGCGGUAAUACGGAGGAUCCGAGCGUUAUCCGGAUUUAUUGGGUUUAAAGGGAGCGUAGGUGGAUUGUUAAGUCAGUUGUGAAAGUUUGCGGCUCAACCGUAAAAUUGCAGUUGAAACUGGCAGUCUUGAGUACAGUAGAGGUGGGCGGAAUUCGUGGUGUAGCGGUGAAAGGCUUAGAUAUCACGAAGAACUCCGAUUGCGAAGGCAGCUCACUGGACUGCAACUGACACUGAUGCUCGAAAGUGUGGGUAUCAAACAGGAUUAGAUACCCUUGUAGUC